RNAcentral lists this long non-coding RNA (428 nucleotides) under Homo sapiens (human). The record is from RNAcentral. Lineage: Eukaryota; Metazoa; Chordata; Mammalia; Primates; Hominidae.
CUCAGCCUCCCAAGUAGCUGGGACUACAGGCGCCCGCCACUACGCCCGGCUAAUUUUUUGUAUUUUUAGUAGAGACGGGGUUUCACCGUUUUAGCCAGGAUGGUCUCGAUCUCCUGACCUCGUGAUCCGCCCGCCUCGGCCUCCCAAAGUGCUGGGAUUACAGGCGUGAGCCACCGCGCCCGGCCUGUUGUCGUAUUUUAAGAAAUUGCCACAGCCACUGCAACCUUCAGCAAACAACCACCUUGAUCAGUUUCCAGCCAUCAACAUUGAGGAAAGGAAUGGAAAAUCAGAAGACGUGUUUAGAUCACACAAACCAGAGGUGAAAGCUGAAUCUGAGAGGCUUCUGUUUCCAGCAAUAAGGUUGCUGAAGAAGAAUCUUACUCUAGGGCUCACUAGCAACUUUGGACUGGUGAUGUAUAAGACAUUAU